Molecule: long non-coding RNA, 1457 nt
Organism: Oreochromis aureus
Lineage: Eukaryota; Metazoa; Chordata; Actinopteri; Cichliformes; Cichlidae
Source: Ensembl
CCUUAAUGAUGACAAGCUCCCCCAAAGAUUUAUUACUUUUUUUUGACAAUAUUUGCUGUUUGUGUGACACACUACUAAAAAUAUAAAAAGCAUACAGUACUUGGUUGAGACGUAACAUUUAAUAAUAAAAGUAUAGAUCCCCCCCCCGAAAUGGUUUGUUCCAGCUCGCCUCUCCCCUAUCUGGCUCUAGCACAGUUGCUACCAGAGCGAUGGUGGCUGAGACGCAGCGGAGCGGAGGUCGAGACAGCCAGGUUCAUAAUGGAAGUUUUUUUCAAAAAAAGGAGCCACAUUCAGUCCAAAGAGGGAGAGAGGAAAGAGGGGAACGUGAGGAGAAAGUACAAGGUCAGGAAGAACCAGGACAAGUGUUCAUUCCUGUGGAAUCCCUUCCUGAAGCUGGAGCAACUUAACAGCCUGAGCAAACACUAUUAAUAUGGGCGCACUCCAUCCAAGGUGCCCCAAAUAUCACAGCUCUCUAAAUAACGAUGUCUGUUGUGAGUGAUUGGGGCUUUGCAUCUUGUACCUACGGGACAGAGGACACAUUUGUAAUGUAGUUACACAGUAAAACCUAAUAUUGUGCUUAAUUAAAUAUAUUAAGUAGACUAAACUCCGUUUUCAUCAACUUGUCAUUAGAACUCAGUUUAAGUAAGUUACCAGUACUUUGUUGUUAAAAAAGCUGAUCAACCCAGUUCAUUUGAGUUGCCUUAAACUAUAAAAACUAAGUAAAUUGGAAAUUUGCUUUUGAGUGGUGGUAUAUUUUACUUAAGUAGGGUUACAAUUCACAGCCUGCUUGGCUUCCCCUUUAUGUCACGUUCCUGGGUCUGUUGACCCAGCGUUUUGAGUUUUAGUUUAUUUUGAUGUUUAUGGUUUAUUUCUAACUUCAUUAGGUUAUCUAAGCUCAUUUGUUUAUUUAGAUUCCCCUUGUGUCUUCUACCCCUGUGUUUUAGUCUCCUUUUGCCCUUUACGUGUUUCACGCUGCGUGUCUUAUGUUGUCAAGGUUAUAUUGUCUUGUCUGCGUCUCAUGUUUCCUGUUUUAUUUUGAAGGUCUAUGUUCUAUGUCAGUGUAGUCAGCUUUGCUUCCUUUGUCUUGUUAUGUCAGACCAGUGUCAGCUGUUUCCCCAUGUGUUUCCACUUCCCCUAAUCACCCUUGUGUGUAUUUAGUCUGUGUGUUUCUGUUCAUUCUUUGUCAGGUCGUCUGUUGUUCCACGCCGUGUUUCUAGGAUUUUCCAUGUUUAGGUUUUUUGCAAUGUUCAAGGUUUUGUUCUUUACCGUUUGUGUUUAGCAUCUAGUUUUCCCAGUUUAGUUGUGAUUAGGUUCUUUCUUGUGUGCAUCUGCCUUUUGUUUUUGUACCUUUUUAUCAGCCAUAUUAAACGGCUCACCUUUUGUUGACACUCAAGUUUUGGUCCAAGUUCCUUCGUGUCUGCAUUUUGGGUCCGCUCUUCACAACACAUACAGUCUGC